GACGAACGCUGGCGGCGUACUUAACACAUGCAAGUCGAACGGAAAGGCCCUGCUUUUGUGGGGUGCUCGAGUGGCGAACGGGUGAGUAACACGUGAGUAACCUGCCCUUGACUUUGGGAUAACUUCAGGAAACUGGGGCUAAUACCGGAUAGGAGCUCCUGCUGCAUGGUGGGGGUUGGAAAGUUUCGGCGGUUGGGGCUGGACUCGCGGCUUAUCAGCUUGUUGGUGGGGUAGUGGCUUACCAAGGCUUUGACGGGUAGCCGGCCUGAGAGGGUGACCGGCCACAUUGGGACUGAGAUACGGCCCAGACUCCUACGGGAGGCAGCAGUGGGGAAUAUUGCACAAUGGGCGGAAGCCUGAUGCAGCAACGCCGCGUGCGGGAUGACGGCCUUCGGGUUGUAAACCGCUUUCGCCUGUGACGAAGCGUGAGUGACGGUAAUGGGUAAAGAAGCACCGGCUAACUACGUG
Molecule: ribosomal RNA, 468 nt
Filed under: uncultured bacterium
Lineage: Bacteria
Description: partial 16S ribosomal RNA
Rfam family: Bacterial small subunit ribosomal RNA
Source: RNAcentral